This is a non-coding RNA of Pelodiscus sinensis (Chinese soft-shelled turtle), 1793 nucleotides long. The record is from RefSeq and is a predicted model, not a curated record. Lineage: Eukaryota; Metazoa; Chordata; Testudines; Trionychidae.
UCCACACACAGAAGGGAAAGGGGCUCCCUAGGAAGACCUACUCUUUCUGUUUUAACUAUUAACCAAUAGUGGAAAAACAAGGAUCCCUAAGUUAUGCUUUCAUAGCCAAUAGGAUGGAUUUGUGCAUCCCACAUGACAGCGUUUCCCCUGUCUUUCACAUGGGCAGUAUUUAGUUCAAUUCAGAACUGCAGAUAGUACAGCUUGCACAGCAGCCAUGGGAUGUCGGAGCACAAGUGACUGACUUCCGAGUGACUUUAUGAAGCAGUUUUGUACUUCCCUUCUGCCUUAAAUUGGGAUCUGCAUCCUUGACAUUAAUCUACCACACUCAUCUCUACUGAAGGAGACAGUGACUAGAAUCCCUUAGCACUAGGAAACAGGGAAUUGGAGCAGAAUCGCAGACCAACAAAUGAAGUGAGCUGAAGGCAAUUUGACCAAUGUCUUCGGUGUGAAUUCCACAGAGGCUGACGAAGUGUGUUAUCAGGUCUCUGAGAUCCAGUAUCAGAUCCAGUAUCAACUCAAUAUGAAGAUGCAGCAUUUGAAAGGUUUUUUUUGUUUUUAUUAAAAAUGGAGAAACACCAUGAACAAUGGAACAGAAAAACAGAUAUUUAAGGACACUGUCAAGUCAGUGAAGUUCUGGUUUUAUUGGUUGCUUCAGUGAACAUUCAACGCUGUCGGUGAGUUUGGAAUUAAAGUGAAAACCAUCGACCGUUGAUUGUACCCUCCAGCUAACCAUCUUCUUCCUUGCUUCAUGCUCUCAGGCCUUUCACUGAAGACAGCUACCAAACCAGCACACAAGGUAUCUUUCCCCCUCCUCUCCCAAAUCCUUUUUGUCAAGCUAUUCUAAAAAGGUCACAAUCAACAUUCAUUGCUGUCGGUGGGUUUAACUCUGUGGACAAGCUCACUGAACAAUGAAUGCAACUGUGGCCCCACUUUUUGCAGACACCGCCAAGAGGAAUAUUAGCUCAGAAAGCAGCACUGAAAGCACAAUUCUUUCAUAUAUGAAAGGUCUCUGAUCAAAAAAACUAACAUCUUCAGGAUUUUUUUGUUUUUUGUUUUCAACUGGUUUGACUCAGAUGGUCAAGAUAACAAUCACUCUUCCAUGGAAUUCGUUACAACAUCAAGGCAGAGCAUGCUGCCAUUAAUCUUACUAACUAGAUAUUAACAAACACCUCCUUAUAUGCACACCUGAGGACUUUAAGCACAGGAGGAGGGAUGUUUGAAGAUGCCUCUUUAAAAAACAAAAACAUAAAAACCUCAUCUUGCGCUGCAACAUUGCAAAUGCAGUGAGAUGACUGCUAUAUGUCUUCUCAGCAAAAGCACCAUGACAUCUGUUACAAAUGGGAGCCUGAGUGAAAAGAAUGGCAAUAAUAUUCCUUAUCUUGGUGUAAUACAAUUCUUUGCUAUGUGAAGUUUAUUUAAACACCUAAUAAACAUUAAAAACACAACCCUUACUGGAUUUGCCUCUUUGUUUUGUUUGGAGAGAAGCCAGAAAGAAAUUAUUUAUAUGGCUAGUAACAGGUUCAGUUCAUCUUUUCAAUUAGAGGAGAUAGCACUGAGAGAGUUGUCAUGCUGCAUUCUCUACUGCCGGAUGUAAGGAAAAAAAAAUAUAAAAAGCAACAUUAAAGCAUGCCACAAAGCACACCACAAAUUCCCCACUCCCACCUGUGCUUCACACAAAACUCAGGAACCAGCCUAAAUUUCUAACACCAGCGGAAGGAGUAUGAAAACAUUUUGCUAAGCCAAUUUCAGCCAUUAGCUGCAGUUUCCAGUAUGUGGGUAUGUCUACUCUAGCC